This 203-nucleotide long non-coding RNA is filed under the name Linum usitatissimum (flax). RNAcentral's name for it is "long non-coding RNA (LUSI_LNC000038)". The record is from RNAcentral. Lineage: Eukaryota; Viridiplantae; Streptophyta; Magnoliopsida; Malpighiales; Linaceae.
AAACCCUGAAGAGCUUAAAUUCUUCGGUUCAAUACUUCCUUGUGAGUUCCCAAAGUACAAAGCUCUGCCAACUUCAUCUACCUUUUCUUUAAUGGCAGCCCUUACAUCAGGCACGUCUGCUUUCUUAUUCCCUUCCUUCUUAUCUGAUGACGUGUCAUAACUAGUGGAUCCAUCCAGAAUGGAGAACGGAAGAACAGUCUUCA